RNAcentral lists this ribosomal RNA (497 nucleotides) under uncultured bacterium. Its description in RNAcentral is "partial 16S ribosomal RNA". It matches the Rfam family "Bacterial small subunit ribosomal RNA", at positions 28 to 507 of the family's 1533-position model. The record is from RNAcentral.
GAUGAACGCUGGCGGCGUGCCUAAUACAUGCAAGUCGAGCGAACAGACGAGGAGCUUGCUCCUCUGACGUUAGCGGCGGACGGGUGAGUAACACGUGGAUAACCUACCUAUAAGACUGGGAUAACUUCGGGAAACCGGAGCUAAUACCGGAUAAUAUAUUGAACCGCAUGGUUCAAUAGUGAAAGACGGUUUUGCUGUCACUUAUAGAUGGAUCCGCGCCGCAUUAGCUAGUUGGUAAGGUAACGGCUUACCAAGGCGACGAUGCGUAGCCGACCUGAGAGGGUGAUCGGCCACACUGGAACUGAGACACGGUCCAGACUCCUACGGGAGGAAGCAGUAGGGAAUCUUCCGCAAUGGGCGAAAGCCUGACGGAGCAACGCCGCGUGAGUGAUGAAGGUCUUCGGAUCGUAAAACUCUGUUAUUAGGGAAGAACAAAUGUGUAAGUAACUAUGAACGUCUUGACGGUACCUAAUCAGAAAGCCACGGCUAACUACGUG